RNAcentral lists this ribosomal RNA (467 nucleotides) under uncultured bacterium. RNAcentral's name for it is "partial 16S ribosomal RNA". It matches the Rfam family "Bacterial small subunit ribosomal RNA", at positions 28 to 507 of the family's 1533-position model. The record is from RNAcentral.
GACGAACGCUGGCGGCGUGCUUAACACAUGCAAGUCGAACGAUGACGACCGAGCUUGCUCGGUCUGAUUAGUGGCGAACGGGUGAGUAACACGUGAGCAACCUGCCCUUCACUCUGGGAUAACCUCGGGAAAUCGGGGCUAAUACCGGAUAUGAGCUCCUGUCGCAUGGCGGGUGUUGGAAAGUUUUUCGGUGAAGGAUGGGCUCGCGGCCUAUCAGUUUGUUGGUGAGGUAGUGGCUCACCAAGGCGAUGACGGGUAGCCGGCCUGAGAGGGCGACCGGCCACACUGGGACUGAGACACGGCCCAGACUCCAACGGGAGGCAGCAGUGGGGAAUAUUGCACAAUGGGCGAAAGCCUGAUGCGGCGACGCCGCGUGAGGGAUGACGGCCUUCGGGUUGUAAACCUCUUUCAGCUGGGAAGAAGCGAAAGUGACGGUACCUGCAGAAGAAGCGCCGGCUAACUACGUG